AGCCCAAAAAGAGCCGUCACAGCUGCCAAAGUAGCUCAGUUAGGAGAGUGUUAGACUGAAGAUCUGAAGGUCUCUAGUUUAAUCCCAGGCUUUGGCAGGCACUUUCAUCUCCCUUUUCAGCUGUGGGC
Molecule: non-coding RNA, 128 nt
Organism: Chelonoidis abingdonii (Abingdon island giant tortoise)
Lineage: Eukaryota; Metazoa; Chordata; Testudines; Testudinidae
Source: RefSeq, a predicted model, not a curated record